AAGUCGUAACAAGGUAACCGUAGGUGAACCUGCGGUUGGAUCAUUAGAAAAUUUAGACGUUCAGCUAGUGCAGUUGAAAAACAGCCUAGCCGGCCUUCAUGGACUGUCGCUGUAACCUCGCAUUGUUUGUUAGCCCGAGUCUUUCUUUAUUGGAUGAGCUGGGGAGUAAUCACAUCGCUUUGCGGCUUACGAAUGCCUUCCAUGAUGUCGCGUCAAACUCCUAUGUGCAACGUUUGGGUGUUGGUUGGCAAAGCAUGAGGUUUUCAAAAUCUCAUGCCGGAAAACCAUCUCCCAUUCCACUAUUUUUAUAAUUUUGUCUAACUUAAUUUAAUAUAUAAUAUUAAAACAACUUUUGGCAACGGAUCUCUUGGCUCUC
Molecule: unclassified non-coding RNA, 376 nt
Filed under: Kochiomyces sp.
Lineage: Eukaryota; Fungi; Chytridiomycota; Chytridiomycetes; Spizellomycetales; Spizellomycetaceae
Description: partial internal transcribed spacer region
Rfam family: Eukaryotic small subunit ribosomal RNA (bases 1-46)
Source: RNAcentral